Molecule: long non-coding RNA, 918 nt
Filed under: Equus caballus (horse)
Lineage: Eukaryota; Metazoa; Chordata; Mammalia; Perissodactyla; Equidae
Description: lncRNA (ENSECAG00000044283.1)
Source: RNAcentral
CUGAUUUUUAUAUUAAACAUCAUUCUAUACUCCACUCUAAUACAACACUUAAAGUAUAUAUUUCAGAUAUUGCUUCCAUAUAAAGAACAUUCUAGAACUAUAGUUCUAUAGAACCUAGUCUUUAUUAUGCUUAUGUAAAGAACUUGGAUUAAAAACUUCAGUGCACAUUCCGUAUGAGGAAAUUUAUUAAGUGUGGAGAGAGAAGGCAAAUUAUCACUUUUCUUUUCUCUGACCAUAUUGCCUACCCCACCUGAUCUUUGAGAUCCUUGAUUUCCCUUCUGGUUCCUUCUCAUAUCUAUGACACACAGAAUUUGGAGUACCUUAGGAUGUAGUCCUUGGACAUUUCCUCUCUCCUGUCUACACUCAUUCAGUCAGGCCAAAAAUCUUGGAGUCAUCCUUGAUGUUCCAUUUACUCGCUUCCCAUGUCCUGUGCAUCAGAUUCAACCCUGUUUACCUACUUCCACUUCUACUUCACUCCAAGACACCAUCGUAUCUUGCCUGGAUAAUUGCAAAGUAAAGAGGAAGAUAAGAUGAAAAAAAGAAGUUAUCACUUUGCCCUUGAAUGGUCAGUAACUACCAGAGACACACUCCUACGCAAAACAAAAUAAAAUCAUUAAAUGACCCUCCAUUCUUCACAUCCUACCUACCUUUGUUGACUGCGCCAGAUAUUUAUACCAGUCUAUUUAUGCUGAAUAACCAGAAAUUUAAAAGAUUAAGUGUAUUGAAACAGAAGAAAAGUGGGACUUCUCUUCAUAGUAUUCAGUGGGUAAGGGAAAAUGAGUACUAAGUGUCCUUGGAAUCUAGGAAGGCAGACCCGAAGGAGAUGGUAAAAUGGAAAUGGGAUGCUAAAAUGAAGCUAAUGUAUUGAUCAUCUUUUAGCAGUCCAUGAAGCCCUAAUCCUUUACCAUAAAAAUCCUG